ACCUAGCUGGCUCAGUUGGAAGAACUUGUGACUCCUGAUCUCAAGGUCGUGAGAUCGAUCCCCAUGUUGGGUU
This 73-nucleotide transfer RNA is filed under the name Canis lupus familiaris (dog). It matches the Rfam family "tRNA". From Rfam's summary of the family: Transfer RNA (tRNA) molecules are approximately 80 nucleotides in length. The record is from Rfam by way of RNAcentral. RNAcentral also lists the same sequence under 2 other names. Lineage: Eukaryota; Metazoa; Chordata; Mammalia; Carnivora; Canidae.